RNAcentral lists this ribosomal RNA (721 nucleotides) under uncultured bacterium. RNAcentral's name for it is "bacterial SSU rRNA". It matches the Rfam family "Bacterial small subunit ribosomal RNA", at positions 335 to 1073 of the family's 1533-position model. The record is from RNAcentral.
ACUCCUACGGGUGGCAGCAGUGGGGAAUAUUGCGCAAUGGGCGAAAGCCUGACGCAGCAACGCCGCGUGGGGGAUGACGGCCUUCGGGUUGUAAACCCCUUUCAGCAGGGACGAAAAUGACGGUACCUGCAGAAGAAGCCCCGGCCAACUACGUGCCAGCAGCCGCGGUAACACGUAGGGGGCAAGCGUUGUCCGGAUUUAUUGGGCGUAAAGAGCUCGUAGGCGGUUGCGUAAGUCGGAUGUGAAAACUCAGGGCUCAACCCGGAGACGCCAUCCGAUACUGCGCUGACUAGAGUCCGGUAGGGGAGCAUGGAAUUCCUGGUGUAGCGGUGAAAUGCGCAGAUAUCAGGAGGAACACCAGUGGCGAAGGCGGUGCUCUGGGCCGGUACUGACGCUGAGGAGCGAAAGCGUGGGUAGCGAACAGGAUUAGAUACCCUGGUAGUCCACGCCGUAAACGUUGGGCACUAGGUGUGGGGCCUACUUAACGGGUUCCGUGCCGUAGCUAACGCAUUAAGUGCCCCGCCUGGGAAGUACGGCCGCAAGGCUAAAACUCAAAGGAAUUGACGGGGGCCCGCACAAGCGGCGGAGCAUGUUGCUUAAUUCGAGGCAACGCGAAGAACCUUACCUGGGUUUGACAUGCACGGAAAAGCCAUAGAGAUAUGGUGUCCUUCGGGGCUGUGCACAGGUGGUGCAUGGCUGUCGUCAGCUCGUGUCGUGAGAU